GACGAACGCUGGCGGCGUGCCUAACACAUGCAAGUCGAGCGGAGUCAGUAAGAGGAAGUUUUCGGAUGGAAUCUUAUUGAUUUAGCGGCGGACGGGUGAGUAACGCGUGAGCGACCAACCUUGCACAGGGGGAUAACGGACCGAAAGGUUCACUAAUACCGCAUGAGACCACGGUGUUGCAUGACACAGUGGUCAAAGGAGCAAUCCGGUGCAAGACGGGCUCGCGUCCGAUUAGGUAGUUGGAGGGGUAACGGCCCACCAAGCCUAUGAUCGGUAGCCGACCUGAGAGGGUGAUCGGCCACAUUGGAACUGCGAUACGGUCCAAACUCCUACGGGAGGCAGCAGUGGGGAAUAUUGGGCAAUGGGGGAAUCCCUGACCCAGCAACGCCGCGUGAAGGAAGAAGGUUUUCGGAUUGUAAACUUCUGUCCUUGGUGAAGAGAAGAAGACGGUAGCCAAGGAGGAAGCCCCGGCUAACUACGUGCCAGCCGCCGCCGUAA
This 498-nucleotide ribosomal RNA is filed under the name uncultured bacterium. RNAcentral describes it as "partial 16S ribosomal RNA". It matches the Rfam family "Bacterial small subunit ribosomal RNA", at positions 28 to 523 of the family's 1533-position model. The record is from RNAcentral.